AACGAACGCUGGCGGCAGGCCUAACACAUGCAAGUCGAACGCUGCAGCAAUGCAGAGUGGCAGACGGGUGAGUAACGCGUGGGAACCUUCCCAGUGGUACGGAAUAGCCCAGGGAAACUUGGGGUAAUACCGUAUAAGCCCCUAGGGGGAAAGAUUUAUCGCCAUUGGAUGGGCCCGCGUCGGAUUAGCUAGUUGGUGAGGUAACGGCUCACCAAGGCAACGAUCCGUAGCUGGUGAGAGAAUGACCAGCCACACUGGGACUGAGACACGGCCCAGACUCCUACGGGAGGCAGCAGUGGGGAAUCUUGGACAAUGGGCGCAAGCCUGAUCCAGCCAUGCCGCGUGAGUGACGAAGG
This 356-nucleotide ribosomal RNA is filed under the name uncultured bacterium. RNAcentral's name for it is "bacterial SSU rRNA". It matches the Rfam family "Bacterial small subunit ribosomal RNA", at positions 29 to 414 of the family's 1533-position model. The record is from RNAcentral.